Molecule: non-coding RNA, 31 nt
Filed under: Homo sapiens (human)
Lineage: Eukaryota; Metazoa; Chordata; Mammalia; Primates; Hominidae
Source: RNAcentral
UGCUUCUCGAAACCUGAAAAAGCCCAUGGUA